AAAGGAUUGGCACAACUGAGCCAGUGCACAAGAAAGCAAUGGCAUGUCCAAUUCAAAAGAACCCAUGUGGUAGCAGUCAGUGCUAGAUUCCCUAAGUGAAUGAUGCUUUAUUUUCAGAAAAAUGUUAGGUAUCAAGUAAACUCAAUAUUAUUAUUAAAUGUAUUGGAGUAUUGUUUGAAUGCAAAUAAAUGAUUGAAUAUAUCACUUUUCAUUGAAAUAUUUUAGCAUAAUUUAGGAACUGUCACUUAGUGUUAGCAGGCUUAUCAUAAUCUUAUCAGUUAGCCUCCUGGAUAAACUGGAGGCGAGCCUUCAUGGAAAAAAGCUAGCUCUAAACUCCUAAUUAUUUUUUAAAAAAUUAUAUGUAUAUGUAAUGCAUACAUAUGGUAAAAAUUAAAUAGAACACGGGAAUAAAAAACAUGAUAAAAAACAAGAGUCCCCCAGCCCUCCCUCCUAGACAGUGGCCUCCUUCCCAGAGGCAACCUCUUUUAACUAUUUCUUGUUUUGGUUCUUCUGGAGGUAACUCCCACAGUCUGGACUCACGGAGGUGAGGCAAUCUGGAUAUUGGCAUGAGGGUUUUUAGUUGUCACAGUGAUGGGGUGUGGGGGGACUACUGGCAUUUACUGGGCCCAGGAGAAGGUGACAAGUCUCCUGCAAUGCACAAGAUGGUCUUGAAUAAUGAAGUCAUGUCCCCGUUUCUCACCCUGUUUAUUGUCCUCUGGACAUUCACACAGACAAAAAAAUCCGCUUCUAAUCAUCAGUAUAACAUAACUCCAUUUCAUACAUAAACAUGAGUUAUUUUGGGGUGGUUUUAAGACAUGUUGAUUUUUCCAGGGAUGCAA
This 839-nucleotide long non-coding RNA is filed under the name Homo sapiens (human). RNAcentral describes it as "non-protein coding lnc-TRHR-1:1". Lineage: Eukaryota; Metazoa; Chordata; Mammalia; Primates; Hominidae. The record is from RNAcentral.